CCUUGUUAGUACCUUAGUCUCGAUGCAAUUAGAGUUGGGACAAAGGAAACUUGUUACCUAAUUCUUUCCUAACCUUUCAGAUCUAUUGAUGGUAAUAGAAAACAAAACUCGUCAGGUGCUGUGCAAUUCUUUGUUCCAACUGGUGAAGCAAAGUUGAUGCAGUGGUUAGACCAAACUCGUCUGGUCUGUAGUGAUUAAGGUAACUUCUUGAUACUUUUGGUCGGUUGGGGCAAAAAAGAAUCUAUGGUGGUUAAGAAACACCCACCCUUAUCAAACUCUUUAGCAUUUGUGCUAGCCAAAACAUGUUGAUCGAUGUGUUUGGUGUGCCACAAAUAUGUUGUUCAUGCAUUAAUUUAAUUUCUAGCUUGUGUGGGUUGGAAAGUCAUCUCGCCUAAGUAUAUUUACCUUAAAAUAACAAUAUGUGCUCUCUUGUAAGUUUGGUAUGAUUUCUGCUGCGUGUUAAAAAAAAAGUCGUAUUUUUGGAUAUUAAACACUGAUAAGAGAGAUGCAGGUAGAUGAAGGAAGAACUCCAGAUCAAAGCUUUCACAAAAUGGAAAGCCUAUUGAGGUAUGAAAUGAAAUUCAUUGAGACCCUUAAUGGAUUUCGUUCUUAUCAUUAGCCUCAUUUUGUAUCAAUCUCCUCCAUUUCCCGCUCUCCAACCCUAGAGAUUUGGUGAGCCCGGAAGAAGGGACAGUAGAAGCCUAGAAGGCUUGUAAUAAGGAGAACAAAUACGAGGAUUAGAAUUUGAAUCUAAUAGAGAUAAUAUUUUGGAGGUUGGCUUUUAAAUGUGCUCCAAUUUUAUCCGGUAGACAAAUCAGAUGGAGAAAUGAGAAUGAAUCGGGCAAAGGAUCUGGCAAAAUGUAACAAAUGUGCCGAGAAGUGACGUCUGAAUCACUUGCAUUAAGAUGUAGCUUGACAUUCCUUCUACAGCCAAAGCCAAACUUUGUCAACCUGAUUCGUUAUUCUUAUCAUAACUAAGUUAAACCUCUUAAACUUGAAA
Zingiber officinale is the source of this 1000-nucleotide long non-coding RNA. RefSeq lists it as uncharacterized. Lineage: Eukaryota; Viridiplantae; Streptophyta; Magnoliopsida; Zingiberales; Zingiberaceae. The record is from RefSeq and is a predicted model, not a curated record. The transcript is spliced from 2 exons.